CCUACGGGUGGCAGCAGUGAGGAAUAUUGGUCAAUGGACGAGAGUCUGAACCAGCCAAGUAGCGUUAAGGAUGACUGCCCUAUGGGUUGUAAACUUCUUUUAUAAAGGAAUAAACCGAGGCACGGGUGCCUUUUUGCAUGUACUUUAUGAAUAAGGAUCGGCUACCUCCGUGCCAGCAGCCGCGGUAAUACGGAGGAUACGAGCGUUAUCCGGAUUUAUUGGGUUUAAAGGGAGCGUAGAUGGGUUGUUAAGUCAGUUGUGAAAGUUUGCGGCGCAACCGUAAAAUUGCAAUUGAUACUGGCAGUCGUGAGUACAGUUGAGGUAGGCGGAAUUCGUGGUGUAGCGGUGAAAUGCUUAGAUAUCACGAAGAACCCCGAUUGCGAAGGCAGCUUACUAAACUGUGACUGACAUUGAUGCUCGAAAGUGUGGGUAUCAAACAGGAUUAGAUACCCCAGUAGUC
This 460-nucleotide ribosomal RNA is filed under the name uncultured bacterium. Its description in RNAcentral is "partial 16S ribosomal RNA". It matches the Rfam family "Bacterial small subunit ribosomal RNA", at positions 338 to 795 of the family's 1533-position model. The record is from RNAcentral.